CCUACGGGGGGCAGCAGUGAGGAAUAUUGGUCAAUGGCCGGAAGGCUGAACCAGCCAUGCCGCGUGAAGGUCAGUGCCCUAUGGGCGUUAAACUUCUUUUGUGCGGGAGCAAUAAUGGUCACGUGUGGCCAGACGAGAGUACCGUACGAAUAAGCAUCGGCUAACUCCGUGCCAGCAGCCGCGGUAAUACGGGGGAUGCAAGCGUUAACCGGAUUUAUUGGGUUUUAAGGGUGCGUAGGCUGGGAGGUAAGUCAGCGGUGAAAUGCCCCCGCUCAACGGGGUGAAGUGCCAUUGAUACUGCCUGGCUGGAAUGCGGAUGCCGUGGGAGGAAUGUGUGGUGUAGCGGUGAAAUGCAUAGAUAUCACACAGAACACCGAUUGCGAAGGCAUCUCACGAAUCCGCGAUUGACGCUGAUGCACGAAAGCGUGGGUAUCAAACAGGAUUAGAUACCCCAGUAGUC
Molecule: ribosomal RNA, 460 nt
Filed under: uncultured bacterium
Lineage: Bacteria
Description: partial 16S ribosomal RNA
Rfam family: Bacterial small subunit ribosomal RNA
Source: RNAcentral